UUGGUUAAGUUAGGAAAGGGCGGCACGGCUGGAUGCCUUGGCCCAACUAGGAGCCGGAAGAAGGACGGGACUCACACCGAUUAUGCGUUUUGGGGGAGCUGUACGUAAGCGUUGAUCCAGAGAUUUCCCGAAUGGGGGGAAACCCACUAUCUUUUAGCUCGGAUAAGUAUCCUUACGUGAAUACAUGGCGUGAGGAGGGCAGAGCCCGGGAACUGAAACACUUCUAAGUACCCUGGAGCGACGAGAAAGAAAAAUCGAUUUCCUGCAGUUAGCGGCGAGCAGCGAAACGCGAAAGGGGCCCAAACCAAAGGAAGCCUUGCUUUCUUGCGGGUUGCUAGGGGGACACUCUAUACGGAGUUACAAAAGAAAAGUUAUAAAUGAAAAGCGGUCUGGAAAGGCCCGCGCCAAGACGGCUAAGCAGCCCGGUAAGUUGAAAUAGGCUUUCCCUCCAGAGUGGAUCCUGAGUACGCGCGGAAACACGUGAAUUUCCGUCGGAAUCCGGGAGGAACCAUUCUCCCAAGGACUAAAUACUCCCUAGUGGACCGAUUAGUUGAAAACCAGUACCGUGAGGGGAAAGCGUGGAAAAGCACCCCGGAAGGGGAGUGGAAACAGUUUCCUGAAACCGCGUGCUGGCCUACAAGUUAGUUAGCAGCCCCGUUAAUGGGUUGAUUAAGCGUGCCCUUUUGCUAGACAAUGAACCGGCGGAGUUACGAUUUGUUGCCAAGGUUAAGCGGAAAAAAGCGGAGCCGUUAGCGAAAAGCGAGUCUGAAUAGCCGGCCGCAUAAGUUAAACAGGGUCGUAGACCCGAAAACCAGGUGAUCUACCCAUGGUCCAGGAUGAAGGCGUAAGGUAAUAACUCUACGUGGAGGUUCCGAAACCCACGCACGCUUUGAAAAGUGCCGGGUAUGAGGUGCUGGGUAGCGGCAGAAAUUCCAAUCGAACUUGGAGAUAGCCUGCGUUCUCUCCGAAAUAAGCUUUUAGGGGCUAAGCCCUCGCAGGUAAAGAGUCAUGGAGGGUAGAGCACUGGUUUGCGACUAAGGGGCCUUGCCCUUCUCGGGGUUACCGAAAUUCAGAUAAACUCCGAAUGCCAUGUACUUAUACUCGGGGCAGUCAGACUGCCGAGUGAAUAAGAUCCGUAGUCGAAAGGGAAAACAGCCCCAGGACCACCAGUUUAGGUUCCCAAAUAUAUGUUAAGUGGCAAAAAGGAUGUGGGGUUGCCUUAGACAACCCAGGAUGUUGGCUUAGAAAGCCUGCCACCAUUGAAGCGAGUGCGGUAAUAAGCUCACCUGGUCGAGUGACCCGGCGCCCGAAAAUGUAACCGGGGGCUAAACAUGAUUACCGAAAACUGUGGAUGCAACCUCUUUAGAGGUUCGUGGUAGGGAGAGCGUUCUAAGGGCGGUGAAGUCAGGGGACGGAAGGACUGGUGAGCCCGCUUAGGAAGUGAAGAAUGGCCGGUAUGAGUAGCGAAAAGAAGGGUGAGGAAUCCCUUCCACCGAAUAUUUCUAGGGUUUCCUGAGGCGAGGCUCGUGUCGCUCAGGGGUUAUUCGGGACCUAAGCCGAGGCCGAUAGGGCGUAGGGCGAUGGGACAAAACAGGUAGAAGAUUCCCUGUACCAGCUUGCUAAUUGUUUAACCGGAAUGGGGUUGACACAGGAGGAUAGGGGAUCGCCACGAAUGGGAAAAUGUUCGGGUCCAAGCAGUGAGUGUUGAGAAGUAAAGGGCAAAUUCCGCCCUUCUUCGCGGAAGCCAUGAGCUGUUUGAUGGGGCAGGAAAUUAAGGUUACGGGAAGCUUUCCUGGAUUUCACGCUGUCAAGAAAAGGGGCCUCUUGCGAAGAGUGAGUACUGCCCGUACCGCAAACCGACACCAGGUAGAUGAGGAGCAGAAAUUCCUGAGGUUGGAGCGAGAGGGAACUUCUCGUUAAGCGAAACUCGGCAAAUGACCCCCGUAACUUCUUGGGAGAAGGGGUGCUUCUUAAUUUAGGGUGCAAAAGCCGAGAGGAGCCGCCAGUUGAAUAGGGGCCAGGGCGGACGUUGUUUUAGGCAAAAAAACCAACAGGGUUCUCUGCCAAAAACCGUUAAGGUUGGGACGUAUAGGGGCUGACGCCUGGCCGGUGCUGGGAAGGUUUAAGAGGAACGUGCUUUAGCUUUUCGGCGAAUGUACGAAUUGAAGGCCCAGCUAAACGGCGGGCCGUAACUAUAAUGCGUUCCUUAAGAGGUAGCGAAACUUCCUUGUCGGGUAGGUUCCGACCCGCCCACGAAAGGCGGCCACUGAUCUGGGCACUUGUCUCAACGAGAGACUCGGUGAUAAUUAUUUAGUACCUGUUGAAGAUGGCAGGUACCGGCGACGGGCAGGACGGAAAGACCCGGUGGAGCUUUACUGCAACCUGAUAUGGAAUGUUUGUCCCGCUUGUACAGGAUAGGUAGGAGCCGAAGAGACGUGUGCGCUAGCAUACGAGGAGGCAAUGGUGGGAUACUACCCUGGCUGUAUGACCAUUCUAACCCGCCACGCUUAGCGCGUGGGGAGACAGUGUCAGGUGGGCAGUUUGACUGGGGCGGUCGCCUCCUAAAGAGUAACGGAGGCGCCCAAAGGUUCCCUCAGAAUGGAUGGAAAUCAUUCGCAGAGUGUAAAGGCACAAGGGAGCUUGACUGCGAGACUGACAAGUCGAGCAGGGACGAAAGUCGGGCUUAGUGAUCCGGUGGUUCCGCAUGGAAGGGCCAUCGCUCAACGGAUAAAAGCUACCCCGGGGAUAACAGGCUUAUCUCCCCCAAGAGUCCACAUCGACGGGGAGGUUUGGCACCUCGAUGUCGGCUCGUCGCAUCCUGGGGCUGUAGUCGGUCCCAAGGGUUGGGCUGUUCGCCCAUUAAAGCGGCACGCGAGCUGGGUUCAGAACGUCGUGAGACAGUUCGGUCCCUAUCCGUCGCGGGCGCAGGAAAUUUGAGAGGAGCUGUCCUUAGUACGAGAGGACCGGGAUGGACACACCGCUGGUGUACCAGUUGUUCCGCCAGGAGCAUCGCUGGGUAGCUAUGUGUGGCAGGGAUAAACGCUGAAAGCAUCUAAGCGUGAAGCCCCCCUCAAGAUGAGAUUUCCCAUUUCUUCGGAAAGUAAGAUCCCUGAAAGAUGAUCAGGUAGAUAGGUUUGGAGUGGAAGUGUAGCGAUACAUGGAGCGGACAAAUACUAAUCGAUCGAGGACUUAACCAAAA
RNAcentral lists this ribosomal RNA (3199 nucleotides) under Listeria monocytogenes. RNAcentral describes it as "bacterial LSU rRNA". It matches the Rfam family "Bacterial large subunit ribosomal RNA". Lineage: Bacteria; Bacillati; Bacillota; Bacilli; Caryophanales; Listeriaceae. The record is from RNAcentral.